CACCCACAGCAUAUGGAGGUUCCCAGGCCAGGGGUUCAAUCAUAGCUGAAGCCGCCAGCCUAUGCCACAGCCAUAGCAACUUGGGAUCUGAGCCACAUCUGUAAUCUAUACCACAGCUCACCUGAGCGCUGGAUCCCCAACCCACUGAGCAAAGCCAUGGAUUGAACCUGCAAUGUCAUGGUUCCUAGUCAGAUUUGUUUCUGCUGCGCCAUGAUGGGAAAUCCUCCAUUGCCAUGUGAGUUGAAGCUUUAACCUCUUACAAAAUAUCUCUUUCUAAAAGAGGAGUUGGACUCUCUGGAACAAUCAGAAAGUCAUGAGAGAAGAAAAUGGAUUCCCAGUCACAGAUCAAAGGUUGUGUAAAAAAUUUUGUAACUGGCUUGCCAGAAAUAUUAAUGUGGCAGAUGCGUGAGGGAGGGGCCCAGGAUUGGAGAGGAGGACUGAAAAGUGGUUCCCGUAUUCAGGAGGAAGUCAAUAGGCUGUCUUCCUCUUUUAGAGUCACCCAGGGCUCCUGAGUGGUGAUAAGGAUAGGAGCUAUUAUGGAAAUGUCCCAUCAGUCUUGAGGGGUCAACCCCAGAGACCUUCAUCUUCAGGGGCAGUCGCUCUUCCUGUGAUCUCCCCAACAUAUGGGGCAUGGCCUAGGUGCUAUGGUCUGAGUCUUGCGGCAUUCCCCUUUAAAGGGUCCCUCUUUUCCACAGAGGAAACAGGCUCUGGGCAUAGGUCUCUGCCCUAGUCCUUUCACCUUGAAACUCCCAGGUUGACUCCCUGUAGUGCCAUAACUAGAGCCUCAGCCUUUUCUGUCUCUCCUCUUGUUCUCCUUUCAUUCUUCCUGGCCCCGAUUAUAACAUACUUGAGUUCCUACUCUGAGGAGGUGCUCCAGGUCCUGACCAGGGCCAAAAGCCAAUUUUUGGAGCUUUCUCCAUUUAUCUGGCACCAAUUGAGCUAUGAAUUUAUCCUUAAGAAUUAUUCAGCCCUCCAUUGUUUCUGGGUUCCUUGGUGUAUGUUUUCUCAAUGCCUUUCUGAGUCUUUCUAAGAAAGCUGAUGGACUCUCUUGUUCUCCUAGUAAACCUCUGAUAGUUUUUAAUAGGCUUUACUCAUGAGGCUUUUAAUCCCUCAACUAUACAAGUAAUAAAAUGAUUUCUAUGCCAAUUAUGGUUAUCUCCCUCAUCAACAGACCAAUUGGGAUCGCUCAUAGGAACUGCCUGACACCCUGUGGGGAAUCUUGUUCAUUCAUCUUCUAAUCCGCCUCUGGCAUUUAUAGCAUCAUUCCAUUCAUCUUCCCCAGCUUUGAGCAGUUUUGAAGACUUUAUGUAUUUUUUCCACCUAUACUCAAUGUCUGUUUUCAUAAUAACAUGACAUCCUUCCAGGCUAACUCAAAGAACUGCAUGAGACCCUGAAAGACCUCAAUAUAUCUGGGUCAUCAGCAAAUUUUCCCAAAUCUGUUUUUAUUUGCCUUAAGUCCGGAAGUGAAAUAGGUGUAUGGGCCUGUAUUUGGUCCCCAUUCUCUGUUUGCUACUUCUUGUAAAGGGAGUAGAGAGAUAUAUAACUUUGGCGCUGGAGGGGGGAGAGGAGGAGCCUUGAGCAGUAUUGGAGAAGGCUCAUUAACUUCUGGCUAAUUGAAGAAUAGUAUUAUAAGCUAGAGAGCUUUCAGACAGCCAUCACUCUCCAUCUGACAGAUUAUAUACAUCCAGUGCCUAUUGUCCCUUCUUGGUUAUGUGAGGGCAUCCCCUCUCUUAUAUGGAUCAGCUAGACAUUAGUGGUCAAAUGUCCCAUCCAACCUCAGGCUGACUGGAAUUAACCACUCUUUACCAGUGUAGUCUGUUUUCCCAUCAUCCCUGCCUAUUGCCUGUCUCUGGACAGAAGUAAAGAAAACCCAGGCAUACAGGCCCUGCCCUGAGUUUUCGAAUCCUAAGAUGCUCACUAUGACAUGCCCUCUAUUAAUAUUAGGAAAGUUUCUAAGCCACAGUUAACAGGUAAAUUGGAUGAACAGCAGAAAGCCAAACUGACUAUGCUGAGGCUCUGAGGCUAAACACUUGGCCUAAAUUGGAUGAAUACUAGCUAUGAACUCCUUUUCCCCACAGGCCUGGUGGCAACUCAGGAUGGUCUUAGCAUCUAGAAGUCUAUUUCCUUUGCCCCCACAGGGGCAAUAGCAAAGGACGUGAUGAAAGAUCAGGUUAGUUUUAUACCAUAAUCUUCAGAAAAUCCCUUUUUGAAAUCUUUGAUCACACAGUCUACAACCAUGGAUUUAGACUUGGGCGAACCCCUGGUGUCUUUCUGUGGAUCUUGUCUAUGGCCUGAUAUUAUGAGACCUUCUCUGACCUAGUGAGCAGUAUCCCCAGUAGCUUUGCCUCCGCCACUCUUGAAAGCAAGACAGCUCCCACUCAGCUCGCUCUAUGACCAGGGAUAACACCUGCUUUGUUGCAAUAUCUCUGAUCCAUCUGGGCCCCCAGUCUCGGGAAGGCACUCUCAGACAACUUCUAAUGUUUUGGGCAAAGGACAGGGGACCUGGUACUCAAUCCUCCCUAUACCCUGAACUGAGACGGGGAUGACAGUCUUGUCUCCAUUACUCAGAUCCUGGGCCUAAGUGAACUGACAAAAUGGGCAGUCCCAUGGCUGGUUUGGAAUCUGGGCCAGGAGUUCCUGGAGGCCCAGGGGCAAGGUCAAGUUAGAUUAUCUCCUCAGAGGAAGUUAUGUCUCACAAGACGGGAGCACAGGGUCUCUGGCUCAUGGGUUUCUGGGUUAGGUCCCACCCCAUGUGGCUGCCCUGUGCAAGUGACACAGACAAAACAAGGGAGCAUGCCCCCUUCUCAGAAUGUCUGCCUGACCGCCCCCCUCUCAGGAGUUUAGGUGCCUCUUAGCAAUUUGCUUGUUCAUAUAAGCCCUGAACUUGGAUUGGACUCACAGGGAGGGAAGAGAACCCCCAGAGUCUGCUUCAGCCAUAAGCCGUAUGAGGACCCACUCGGACUGCAGGUUAGGACCCACUUGGACUCCGGACUCCGUAACUGCUAAGACCAUGGAGUCACAAAUUCGAACCUGAAGUGCAAGCGAAUCAGGCCGCUCAUUCACUCUCACAUGCACUCAGAGGUUAUCACAAUGCCUCCCACUCCCUGGGAGUUCCUAACUAGUAGCUUGAUCAAGCACAACUUUCGAUUGGCUAUGCCCGACAGUUGCUCCACCCAAGCAAGAGGUUCCUCUGCUUUGGCUCUGGAGCACUAGGACUACUACUCUGGUCAGGCACAGUUUCUGGAGGGGGAGAGUCUCCCUAAGAGGGUGAUCAGUCCCCUCUUCUGCCCACUGGGGCAGGACCUGACUGGGGUUUGCCCCGGGGCCUUACCUUGUCCGGAUGCCUUUCUGGUGAGUUGGUCUGUCUCUCCACUGAGUCCAGUCGGGGUUUGGUCACCUGGGAGUCAGGAAUGCUGCUCAUGAAGGAGUACCCAGAAUACCAUCGGGUGGCACACUGCCUCAUUCGGUUCGAGGCUCCCUGGCUCCCAGGCGGCCUUGCCUCCAUUCCGGUGGCUUAGGGGCCAGAACAGUUGAAAACUCACUGGGGCCCGAGAAACUAAGUGAGCACUUGGAGAGUUGGAGAACUCAGGUUUAUUACGCCAGCGGGCUCAGAGGAGAUCACUCUCCAGAGUCUGAGCCCCAAAGAGGGGUUUCACAAGGCUUUUAUGGGCUAGUUCUUCCAGGUCCAUGCUUGGCGGACUGGAGUGAGAACUGGCAAAGUAAUAGAUGUGGGGGUAAGUUUUACAGAAGCAGAUGUGUGGGGGAGGGGUGAUUAGAGGUAGUUGGCUGGAUUUUGCUUAGUUAUCAUGGCUGGGGUGUCUCCUUUCGACCUUUUUGUCAGGACAUUUUCCCCUACAGGAGAACUCAGAUUUAUUACGCCAGCGGGCUCAGAGGAAAUCACUCUCCAGCAUCCGAACACCGAAGAAGGGUUUCACAAGGCUUUUAUGGGCUACCUCUUCUGGGUCCAUGCUUGGCUGGUUGGACUGGAGUGAGGUCAGGCAAGGUAGUAGAUGCAAAAACUAGUUUACAGAAGAUGUGUGGAGGAGGGGUGGUUGGGGCAGUUGGCUAGACUUUGCUUAGUCAUCAUGGCCGGGUCUCUCCUUUCUGCCUUUUUAUCAGGACAUUUUCUCCUACAGUUUUAGUGUUAUCCUCCAGCAUUGGGAUGAGCAGAUGGAUUUUUUUUUUCCCUAAUGACUUGUAAAACUUUAUCUACUAUGAAUGUGUAUUCCAAAUAAUAUUUUCCAGAAUGUAGAAGAACCAAAACUUUAUACCCUCCUGUCAGAAAUGUGAACUUGCACAACUAUUUUGGAAAACAAUUUGACAGGUUUUCUUUUCUCUCUCUCUCUCUUUAUAUAUAUA
RNAcentral lists this long non-coding RNA (4359 nucleotides) under Sus scrofa (pig). RNAcentral describes it as "lncRNA (ENSSSCG00005027343.1)". The record is from RNAcentral. Lineage: Eukaryota; Metazoa; Chordata; Mammalia; Artiodactyla; Suidae.